CCUACGGGUGGCAGCAGUGAGGAAUAUUGGUCAAUGGGCGAGAGCCUGAACCAGCCAAGUCGCGUGAGGGAAGACGGCCCUAUGGAUUGUAAACUUCUUUUGUCGGGGAGCAAAAACCGGUACGCGUACCGCACUGAGAGUACCCGGAGAAAAAGUAUCGGCUAACUCCGUGCCAGCAGCCGCGGUAAUACGGAGGAUGCGAGCGUUAUCCGGAUUUAUUGGGUUUAAAGGGUUCGUAGGCGGCCGGAUAAGGUAGAGGUGAAAUUCCGGGGCUCAACUUCGGAAUAGCCUUUGAUACUGUCCGGCUAGAGAGGAGUUGAGGUAGGCGGAAUGUAUGGUGUAGCGGUGAAAUGCUUAGAGAUCACACAGAACACCGAUUGCGAAGGCAGCAUACCAAGGCACUACUGACGCUCAGGCACGAAAGCGUGGGUAGCAAACAGGAUUAGAUACCCCAGUAGUC
RNAcentral lists this ribosomal RNA (460 nucleotides) under uncultured bacterium. Its description in RNAcentral is "partial 16S ribosomal RNA". It matches the Rfam family "Bacterial small subunit ribosomal RNA", at positions 338 to 795 of the family's 1533-position model. The record is from RNAcentral.